CGUUAUAAAAAACCAGCAGCUUUACUGUCCUUUAUUCUUCAUAAAAAAUCAACCUUUUCACUUUUCAUAACUUAUAGGGAGUUUGCUAGAGUUUCACUUACAGCACUGAUGAUUCUUUAUUUUUGGUCAGUUUGCUGUGUGUAAAUAAGUAUACAUAUAUAAACUGUUAACAGUAAAUAAAAACAAAUAAUGUCACUUUGAACUGGAAAAGUUUUAUAUGGUGCAUAAUGUUUUGGAUUUUCUGAGAGGGUGGAUGGUUUGGAGUUCUGUCAGGGGAAAGUAGGCAGCUUUAUUUGCAUAGUUCAAUCAUAAAAAGUCAGGGCUUUGUGCAGAGGUGAAAGUGAAACUAAUGAAAGACUUCCUGCACUCACACAAGGAACGAAGUAUAAACAAGUGUAAACUUUUGCGGAAUUUGAUCUCCUGAGACUCGCCUUCCUUUAAGAUGUUUCCAGAAUCAGGUGUUCUAGCGUUCUACAUUAUGUCACUCGGGGACACUCUGGGUGCCCAAAUCGACUUCCUAGAUCGGCUGAAACAACGUCUUCAGCUCCGUCAAGUGUUUUUGGAGGAUGAUUGUGACGUUAUCAUCGCUUUCCUCUGCGUUGUGUCUCGGGCUGGACGGGCAUCGAAGUUGCUCUUGAAAAGAUUCCGAGGGAUAAGCCUGCUCUCCUCGUGGUGUUCCAUAACACGUUUGAUGAAAAUUACAUUGCUCCAGACAGCAGGUGGAAUGUGAAGAGGGAAGGUGUUUUAGCUGUGGAUGUCCUCUUUUAUGAAGACAAGGGAUUGCUGAGGAGCCUGCACAAUGAUGCGGCACUGAAAUUAAGCACUGAUUAUCUGAUCUCUCUUGGUGUUUCACCGAAAGUCUGGCCCGAGCCAGGACACACAUGCAGAAAUGCUUGCAAGUGGAUAAUUCUAGCCAUUGUUGCUGUUCUUCUUAUUACUGCUAUAACAAUAAAUGCAAUAUUCCUUGUCUAUUAUAAGAAAAAGCAAUAAAGCAGCAAGCUAAUUUGACCUAAACCCACAUAAAAUAACAAACCAAGAAAUGUAAUAUCUUUCUUAUAAUCAAGGUCACAUUACAUUGCAUAAACAGCAUUAAAAUGAGAAAUUUGACCAGUGCAUUCACAAUGAAUAGCUAUAAAUGUAUUUAAUAAUCAGCAUAAAAAGUACAAAGAGAAAUAAAAUAAAAGACAAAUAAAAUAUAUAAACUUCAUAUAAAUGUCAUAUAAAUUUGUUAGCAUAAUCAUGCACAUUUCUGAUCAGGGCCCUGAUUAGUGAACUAGAGAGCUGAUUGCAAUGUAAUGUAGGGAAUGUACUUGAUUAGUCCACAAAAUUUGAAAGCAAUAAGAAUGUGAAACCUCCAUCUCUGCUCCAGAGCUCUAGCUAUAGUGUCCAACUGAAGCUGAAAUUCUCCGAAAUGAAGCAUAGGAAUUCCAAGCUAGAAUUUUCAACACUUUCCUUUACUUUACUGUCUGUAUUUUUCAGAACAUAUUGAGGCAGUCGAGUACACAAACAUGCUGUGUAUCAAAGGAAAUAGACUUAAAAUGACAGUAAUUUUUGCUUCUAUUUCAGUUUAUAAAGAAUUACAGCUGACCAGUUUCCUGCAUGUUAACCAUGUUUACCAUGAACACAGCUAUGAGCUUGAUCCAAAAAUAACCUGAAGAAUGAUGAAUUAAAUUAAAUGUUGACUUGAAAUAUUUAAUAAUAAUAUAUAAAUUUUAUCUCUAUAUACAAAGGGGUUAUUUAAAGAUUUUCUAAUCUAAUUGAUAAUAUCAAAUUGACAAUAUUUUACAGGCUUAUGUCACAAUGUAAUGCAUCGUGUGUGAUUUAUAAUCGUGAAAGUAAAUAAAUCAUUAAAUGUUGUCUGUACUACUGAUUGAUUGUUAUUUAAUAAAAUAUCAGACUAUCAUGAACAUGAGUUUCAUGCUUGUCCACAAAAAACCCCCCACCAUUUUAUCCACAUCCAUUAUGAGAAAAUCAAAAUUCAUUGGUAUUUUUGUUUCCUUGAUGCCUCACAGAUAUAAUAUUUUACUACACGGCAUUAAAAUAUUCACUCAGUUUGUCCGUCAGUUUAAAAAUGACCAAAAUGUAUAGAUAUUACUGCCAAAGAGAUUAUACAUAGUGACUUAAUUGAACCUAAACCAAUUAAGAAUUACGAAUUAAGCGUAAGUCUCAGGGGAACAUGUCAGACUGGUGUUAUAUGAUACAAAGCUUGAGCUGAUGUUAGGUUUUUCACAGAACAAGGAACAGGUUAAAGAUGUUUGUGUAGUGACUCUAAACAAUGCAAGGUGUGUGUGUGUGUGUGUGUGUGCAUUCCUAACUAAGGCUCAACACAAAAAUAACUCCAACACAUAAUAAACGUGUGUUCAUUUAAAGGGUUUUUUGCUGUGAUUGAUAGCAA
Hemibagrus wyckioides is the source of this 2395-nucleotide long non-coding RNA. RefSeq lists it as uncharacterized. The record is from RefSeq and is a predicted model, not a curated record. The transcript is spliced from 4 exons. NCBI's taxonomy places the organism in Eukaryota, Metazoa, Chordata, Actinopteri, Siluriformes, Bagridae.